This 434-nucleotide ribosomal RNA is filed under the name uncultured bacterium. RNAcentral describes it as "bacterial SSU rRNA". It matches the Rfam family "Bacterial small subunit ribosomal RNA", at positions 42 to 472 of the family's 1533-position model. The record is from RNAcentral.
UCAGGCCUAACACAUGCAAGUCGAACGGCAGCGCGGAGAGCUUGCUCUCUGGCGGCGAGUGGCGAACGGGUGAGUAACGCGUAGGAAUCUACCUUGUAGUGGGGGAUAGCCUGGGGAAACUCGGGGUAAUACCACAUAAUCUCUACGGAGCAAAGCGGGGGAUCUUCGGACCUCGCGCUGCAAGAUGAGCCUGCGUUGGAUUAGCUAGUUGGUGGGGUAAAGGCCUACCAAGGCGACGAUCUAUAGCUGGUCUGAGAGGACGACCAGCCACACUGGGACUGAGACACGGCCCAGACUCCUACGGGAGGCAGCAGUGGGGAAUAUUGGACAAUGGGGGAAACCCUGAUCCAGCAAGUGCCGCGUGUGUGAAGAAGGCCUUAGGGUGUAAAGAAAGGUCGGUGGGAAAGAAAAAAUCAAGACUAAUACGCUGAGAA